CAGUUCUCAUCAGCUUCAGUAUUGGUUACCCUGCAGUAUGGUUUUGAUAACCUGUUUCCAAAUCGCUUGUUUGGUUCCCCCCAGGGUGUGGGUGGUGGGGAUGUUCAGCUUGUCUUCUUGCUCACAUCUGUAAUAGGGGAUGGGUCUCUGGAGGCAUCUGUGAUUGAAUCCUCCUCCCUGACUUGCUCUGUUAUUGCUUCUGUAGGCACCAUAGGCUCUGCACAACAGCACUGAUUGAGCUCAAACUUUGUAAACAGAGACUUUGAUUGAUCUUCAAACAGAUAACCUCUGCAUUGGUGUAGAGUCCAAAGAAGAACUGUAGACUUUUCCAGUAGUCCUACAAUUUGGUUUUGGAUGUAAAGAAAUGUUUUGUCUUAGGGACGCUAUCUGGUCUCUGCUUACCACUGCCUUGUUUUAGAGGUGGUAGAGCUUCAGGUCUUAUCUUAAGUGAGGUCUGGUGAAGUAAUCACUUUUGGCUCACAAGCAAGUCUGAGAGGGGAAAAUUAUGAUUCCCUCCUGAAAGGCAACCACCUGAGAGCUGGAGCAGAUGCAUUCACAAAGAACAGGAGGAAGGCAGAGAAAGUUCAUGAAUAAUGAAGUUCACGCUAAAGCCCAUCCUGCAGCUGACUCCAUGAAGACCACAAUUGAUUUGAAUGGUUUCUGUCAGUGCAUUGUCUACCAACAUAGAGAGAGUUCCACGAUUGGAGCCUAGUAUAAGAAACACUCUUUUCCCAAGAUUUAGAGUACAGUAUGGGAAUGCUUUUAUAUGUGAAAAAAGAAAUGUCUAAUUGUCUUGUGCACUGCUGGAUACACAGAAACACUUGCUUUACUUGCACAAGCGGUUCCACUUAAAUAGAUCAGACUACUUAGGUAGGACA
Molecule: long non-coding RNA, 878 nt
Filed under: Crocodylus porosus (Australian saltwater crocodile)
Lineage: Eukaryota; Metazoa; Chordata; Crocodylia; Crocodylidae
Description: lncRNA (ENSCPRG00005016373.1)
Source: RNAcentral